Molecule: ribosomal RNA, 254 nt
Filed under: uncultured bacterium
Lineage: Bacteria
Description: partial 16S ribosomal RNA
Rfam family: Bacterial small subunit ribosomal RNA
Source: RNAcentral
CACGUAGGGUGCGAGCGUUGUCCGGAAUUAUUGGGCGUAAAGAGCUCGUAGGCGGUGUGUCGCGUCGGCCGUGAAAACCUGCAGCUUAACUGUGGGCUUGCGGUCGAUACGGGCAUCACUGGAGUUCGGCAGGGGAGACUGGAAUUCCUGGUGUAGCGGUGAAAUGCGCAGAUAUCGGGAGGAACACCCGUAGCGAAGGCGGCACUCUGGGCCGUGACUGACGCUGAGGAGCGAAAGCGUGGGGAGCAAACGGG